AUCAUGGAGAGUUUGAUCCUGGCUCAGAACGAACGCUGGCGGCGCGUCUUAAGCAUGCAAGUCGAGCGGUAAGGGGCAGUAAUGCCUCCUAGAGCGGCGGACUGGUGAGUAACGCGUGGGUGACCUACCCUUAGGAUGGGGAUAGCCAUUAGAAAUAGUGGGUAAUACCGAAUAUGGUUGCGGGACUAUGGUUUUGCAAAGAAAGGAGCUAAGGCUCCGCCUGAGGAUGGGCCCGCGUCCCAUUAGGUAGUUGGUGCGGUAAAGGCGUACCAAGCCUGAGAUGGGUAGCCGGCCUGAGAGGGUGAACGGCCAC
This 313-nucleotide ribosomal RNA is filed under the name Treponema sp. RNAcentral's name for it is "bacterial SSU rRNA". It matches the Rfam family "Bacterial small subunit ribosomal RNA", at positions 1 to 311 of the family's 1533-position model. Lineage: Bacteria; Pseudomonadati; Spirochaetota; Spirochaetia; Treponematales; Treponemataceae. The record is from RNAcentral.